RNAcentral lists this ribosomal RNA (1339 nucleotides) under Lactiplantibacillus plantarum. RNAcentral describes it as "bacterial SSU rRNA". It matches the Rfam family "Bacterial small subunit ribosomal RNA", at positions 48 to 1353 of the family's 1533-position model. Lineage: Bacteria; Bacillati; Bacillota; Bacilli; Lactobacillales; Lactobacillaceae. The record is from RNAcentral.
GCUAUACAUGCAAGUCGAACGAACUCUGGUAUUGAUUGGUGCUUGCAUCAUGAUUUACAUUUGAGUGAGUGGCGAACUGGUGAGUAACACGUGGGAAACCUGCCCAGAAGCGGGGGAUAACACCUGGAAACAGAUGCUAAUACCGCAUAACAACUUGGACCGCAUGGUCCGAGUUUGAAAGAUGGCUUCGGCUAUCACUUUUGGAUGGUCCCGCGGCGUAUUAGCUAGAUGGUGGGGUAACGGCUCACCAUGGCAAUGAUACGUAGCCGACCUGAGAGGGUAAUCGGCCACAUUGGGACUGAGACACGGCCCAAACUCCUACGGGAGGCAGCAGUAGGGAAUCUUCCACAAUGGACGAAAGUCUGAUGGAGCAACGCCGCGUGAGUGAAGAAGGGUUUCGGCUCGUAAAACUCUGUUGUUAAAGAAGAACAUAUCUGAGAGUAACUGUUCAGGUAUUGACGGUAUUUAACCAGAAAGCCACGGCUAACUACGUGCCAGCAGCCGCGGUAAUACGUAGGUGGCAAGCGUUGUCCGGAUUUAUUGGGCGUAAAGCGAGCGCAGGCGGUUUUUUAAGUCUGAUGUGAAAGCCUUCGGCUCAACCGAAGAAGUGCAUCGGAAACUGGGAAACUUGAGUGCAGAAGAGGACAGUGGAACUCCAUGUGUAGCGGUGAAAUGCGUAGAUAUAUGGAAGAACACCAGUGGCGAAGGCGGCUGUCUGGUCUGUAACUGACGCUGAGGCUCGAAAGUAUGGGUAGCAAACAGGAUUAGAUACCCUGGUAGUCCAUACCGUAAACGAUGAAUGCUAAGUGUUGGAGGGUUUCCGCCCUUCAGUGCUGCAGCUAACGCAUUAAGCAUUCCGCCUGGGGAGUACGGCCGCAAGGCUGAAACUCAAAGGAAUUGACGGGGGCCCGCACAAGCGGUGGAGCAUGUGGUUUAAUUCGAAGCUACGCGAAGAACCUUACCAGGUCUUGACAUACUAUGCAAAUCUAAGAGAUUAGACGUUCCCUUCGGGGACAUGGAUACAGGUGGUGCAUGGUUGUCGUCAGCUCGUGUCGUGAGAUGUUGGGUUAAGUCCCGCAACGAGCGCAACCCUUAUUAUCAGUUGCCAGCAUUAAGUUGGGCACUCUGGUGAGACUGCCGGUGACAAACCGGAGGAAGGUGGGGAUGACGUCAAAUCAUCAUGCCCCUUAUGACCUGGGCUACACACGUGCUACAAUGGAUGGUACAACGAGUUGCGAACUCGCGAGAGUAAGCUAAUCUCUUAAAGCCAUUCUCAGUUCGGAUUGUAGGCUGCAACUCGCCUACAUGAAGUCGGAAUCGCUAGUAAUCGCGGAUCAGC